GUACUUUGGAGCAGCAAAAGAUUUGCCUGGUGUUAGAGAGCUGUUUGAAAAAGAACCUCUUCCUCCUCCCAGAAAGACACGUGCUGAGCUCAUGAAGGCAAUCGAUUUUGAGUACUAUGGUUACCUAGAUGAAGAUGAUGGUGUUAUUGUGCCUUUGGAACAGGAAUAUGAAAAGAAACUCGGACGAGGAAGGCAGCCAGGAGAAAGGAGGGGACGACAGCCAGCAGAAGUUCAUUGCUCACGUCCCUGUUCCCUCGCAGCAAGAGAUUGAGGAGGCACUGGUGCGAAGGAAGAAAAUGGAACUCCUCCAGAAGUAUGCAAGCGAGACCCUGCAGGCCCAAAGUGAAGAAGCCAGAAGGCUCCUGGGGUAUUAGGACCCAGCUGGGGCUCUCCUUGGAGUUCUUCCAUCCCCCAGUGGUACCUCAGGACCCAGGGCUGCAGACACAGGCUGGUGCUGCAAGGGCUCCUGCCCCAUUCUCAGCCUUCCUUCCCUCUCCUUGUCUCAUGUUGACCGGAGGGUAGGGGUCUGUCCCUGGUCUUCCUGGUAGGUUUUGUACACAUAUUUUGCUACUGUGUGGAUCCAUUUAUUUUUAUUGUGGAGUGUAUACAACAGGUUGCGAACUGGCUGCCUGUGUCUUAUUUUGACUUGCACUGCCAUUUUGAGGGGAGAAGAAUCAAUUAGUGGCAAACAUUUAAAAAUGCAAUUUUUUGCAGACCAAAGUAUAAUUUUAAAAAAUGCAAAUUUUCUAAAAGACACAUCUCUUGAAAAAUGAGAUGAUGUGGCCAGGCGCAGUGGCUCACGCCUGUAACCCCAGCACUUUGGGAGGCCGAGGCGGGCGGGUCACGAGGUCAAGAGAUGGAGACCAUCCUGGCCAACAUGGUGAAACCCCAUGUCUACUAAAAAUACAAAAAAAUUAGCUGGGCGUACUGGCAUGCACCUGUAGUCCCAGCUGCUUGGGAGGCUGAGGCAGGAGAAUCACUUGAACCCGAGAGGUGGAGGUUGAAGUGAGCCAAGAUCGUGCCAUUGCACUCCAGCCUGGCGACAGAGUGAGACUCUGU
RNAcentral lists this long non-coding RNA (1059 nucleotides) under Homo sapiens (human). RNAcentral describes it as "long non-coding RNA NONHSAT196243.1". The record is from RNAcentral. Lineage: Eukaryota; Metazoa; Chordata; Mammalia; Primates; Hominidae.